AGAUUGAACGCUGGCGGCAGGCCUAACACAUGCAAGUCGAGCGGUAGAGAGGUGCUUGCACCUCUUGAGAGCGGCGGACGGGUGAGUAAUGCCUAGGAAUCUGCCUAGUGGUGGGGGAUAACGUUCGGAAACGGACGCUAAUACCGCAUACGUCCUACGGGAGAAAGGCGGGGGACCUUCGGGCCUCGCGCCAUUAGAUGAGCCGUAGGUCGGAUUAGCUAGUU
RNAcentral lists this ribosomal RNA (224 nucleotides) under uncultured soil bacterium. RNAcentral describes it as "partial 16S ribosomal RNA". It matches the Rfam family "Bacterial small subunit ribosomal RNA", at positions 26 to 250 of the family's 1533-position model. The record is from RNAcentral.